AUUGAACGCUGGCGGCAUGCCUUACACAUGCAAGUCGAACGGCAGCGCGGGCUUCGGCCUGGCGGCGAGUGGCGGACGGGUGAGUAAUGCAUCGGAACGUGCCCAGGAGUGGGGGAUAACGUAGCGAAAGUUACGCUAAUACCGCAUACGUACUGAGGUAGAAAGCGGGGGAUCGAAAGACCUCGCGCUCAUGGAGCGGCCGAUGUCGGAUUAGCUAGUUGGUGAGGUAAAAGCUCACCAAGGCUACGAUCCGUAGCUGGUCUGAGAGGACGACCAGCCACACUGGGACUGAGACACGGCCCAGACUCCUACGGGAGGCAGCAGUGGGGAAUCUUGGACAAUGGGCGCAAGCCUGAUUCAGCCAUGCCGCGUGGGUGAAGAAGGCCUUCGGGUUGUAAAGCCCUUUUGUUGGGAAAGAAAAGCAGUCGGUUAAUACCCGAUUGUUCUGACGGUACCCAAAGAAUAAGCACCGGCUAACUUCGUGCCAGCCGCCGCGGUAA
RNAcentral lists this ribosomal RNA (500 nucleotides) under uncultured bacterium. Its description in RNAcentral is "partial 16S ribosomal RNA". It matches the Rfam family "Bacterial small subunit ribosomal RNA", at positions 30 to 523 of the family's 1533-position model. The record is from RNAcentral.